This is a long non-coding RNA of Daphnia magna, 726 nucleotides long. RefSeq lists it as uncharacterized. The transcript has 4 exons. The record is from RefSeq and is a predicted model, not a curated record. NCBI's taxonomy places the organism in Eukaryota, Metazoa, Arthropoda, Branchiopoda, Diplostraca, Daphniidae.
UCGCUACCUACCGUCCUCUCAGCCUUAUGGCCCCCUUCGUGGUCUUCCACUUCGUUGUCUAUGGCCAAAAGACGAGAAUUCAUUGAGCCACAGCUCAAUGAUAUGCUCAAUGAUCCAACAGUUCUGUAACUGGAUUUUCGAAGCAUUUUAAGCUACUUAAAUGUUUACGAAUUCGUAGGUUACAUUUGGAAAAGAGAUAAGUAAAUGAAAAAAAAAAAACUUUUUCAAAACACUGCGCCUACCAUAUUUGAAGUUGCUAAAAAUAAAACUGUGUUAGAUAAUCAGUCAAACAACACAUUGUUCUUUUAUUUGAAUGGACAAUCAAGAUCUCAACAACUAGAGCCUGUCAACUCUAAUCGUACUCAUACUCCAACUACAUACACUGCAAGUAACUUGAGUACAUAGUCAUCCAACUCACCUUUCUCUGAUGUCAAUGGAAAAUCAAGAUCUCAACAUCCACUGACUUUCACCAUUGCUAAUUGUACUGAUACUCCAACAUCCACUGCAAGAAACUUGAGUACACAGUCCACCAAACCACCAUUCUCAAAUGGGACUGGACAAUCAAGAUGUCAACAACUAGAGCUUAUCACCAUCUCUCAUUGUACUUAUCCUCCAACAUCCACUGUAAGCACAAUAAUGUUAAGUUGUUAAGUAAAAUGCAUGUUCAUUAGUUUGUGCUUCUGUUUUAAUUGGGUUAUUGACAAUACAGUGGGCUUUUACUAUAAA